GGAUCCGUAGCUCAAUUGGUUAGAGCGCUCCCCUGUCACGGGAGAGGUCGCGGGUUCGAGUCCCGUCGGAUCCGCCA
This 77-nucleotide transfer RNA is filed under the name Candidatus Peregrinibacteria bacterium. RNAcentral describes it as "tRNA-Asp". It matches the Rfam family "tRNA". Rfam says of the family: Transfer RNA (tRNA) molecules are approximately 80 nucleotides in length. Lineage: Bacteria; Candidatus Peregrinibacteriota. The record is from RNAcentral.